This 351-nucleotide ribosomal RNA is filed under the name Triticum aestivum (bread wheat). RNAcentral describes it as "partial small subunit ribosomal RNA". Lineage: Eukaryota; Viridiplantae; Streptophyta; Magnoliopsida; Poales; Poaceae. The record is from RNAcentral.
AUGAGUGUGUGCACGGAGAACUCAGUCCACAUCACGAUUUCUGAUCAUCAAGGCAUAGUGAGCCAUGUUAGGUUCGGCGAGCGAGCCCUCGUUUGUUUCCAUCAUCGUCCUCCAAACCAAACCAAGCCAAACCAAGCCAAAAACCACACGAAAAUACCACCAUCACUAACCGAACUUAGCAACAGCAAAUUGGCAACUCAAAACAGACGAUAUCUAUAUAUACUAAGGGUCCAUGCGAUUGAAACUCAUGCGAUCGGACCAAAAACACAAGCGAAUGCAGAAGAGGAGGAGGAGGAAGGAGAGCUUGCAAGAAGCUAUGGCACGGGGAGGGAAGGCUACUGGAUCGGAUAA